CAUGAAGUGAAACAAUGCUUCAUGCUCAGUCCUGUGAUUUUGUGUAUUUAUUGGACUUACUUUGAAAUUAAACUAAAUGAUACUCAAAGUACAGCAUGAGAAAAAUGAAAAAACAGGCUAUGGUGUUUGAAAAACAAACAAAACCGUUUGGUUUGUUGGUUUGUUCUUAGACCUUCACAGGCUCCUAGGUCACACGUUUCAGUUUCUCAGCGAGUGACAUUCUCUGCGGAAUGUCAGCCUCUUGUUUGUUGAUGUCAGCCACAGCAGAAAGAAGCACUCCAUAGGCCCUGUGCUCAGCACCUUGGCGUGAGCUCUUGCAAUCUUCUGUUCAUCCUCAUCACAGCUCUGUGCAGUGGGCGUCCUCCUGAUCCCGGUGGGAGGAUGGAGGAUGGAGGCGGAACGUGCUCAGGAGGCUGAUGCCACAUAGAAGACCUGCAGGUCGAUGGAUGUGAAACAGGCAUCGGACACGCUGUGCACCUUGGGAUGCAUCUGAGAAGUACGUGCUUGCAGCAGGUCUGAGAUUCUGUGGCCAAAAACUUACCCGUGGACAUUGAGGGUGAUGCACUUCUGCUCCAAGACGUCUGUGGACUCAGCUAGAUGGAUGGAAAGGAUAUGGA
Molecule: non-coding RNA, 617 nt
Organism: Macaca mulatta (Rhesus monkey)
Lineage: Eukaryota; Metazoa; Chordata; Mammalia; Primates; Cercopithecidae
Source: RefSeq, a predicted model, not a curated record